RNAcentral lists this long non-coding RNA (7880 nucleotides) under Malus domestica (apple). RNAcentral's name for it is "long non-coding RNA (MDOM_LNC003038)". The record is from RNAcentral. Lineage: Eukaryota; Viridiplantae; Streptophyta; Magnoliopsida; Rosales; Rosaceae.
GGAAUGUGUUUUGAAGUUGAAGAAUUGAAGAUACAAAGUUUCCUAGUUGAAGUAGGAAAGGGCUUACACGAAGAAUUCCUAAAUGGAGAAGGAUUCCUAAUCAAUGUAGGAGUCCUAAAUGAAGAUGGAUUCCUAGAGACAUGAAGUUUCCUACUCAAGCAAGGUUUCCUACAUGAAGAAGAAGAAUUAAAGCCAAAGAAUCAGCUCAAGAUAAGGAAUCUAUCCAAAACCUCAUCAUAACCUUAUCUUAGCUUAACUUAUCCAAACAAACCUUAUCCUAUCUUAUCUUAUCCUAAUCCUAAAUUAUCCACAUUCCAGCCACUUAGGAGGGUUUCUAACUAGAUUAGGAUGCUUAAAAUGGGAUUUCUAGAAGACCUAAUCCUUUCCUACAAAGGUGCCACACCUUAUCCCUUGUUUUUCUAGAAAUCAGCCACAAAAUAACCUUUCUAGAAGGCCUUAUCCCUUCUCCUACAAAAGUGACGCCCCAAACCUUUCUAGGACUCCUAGAAACCUGAUUAUUCCUUUCCCCCUUGGUUUCUAAAAGCCUUAGCCUUUUCCUUCAAGGAUUGUGUGUUAUUAUCCUAUACAAAUUAGGCUUUUAAAUCCUUUUCCUUUGCUACAUAGGGGCUGCGAAUUUCAGCCUAUAAAUACCACCCUUUGCUGCACCAUUUAGUCACCCUCCUCUACCAUAUUUUCACUACACCAUUCACCCAAACAUCCCUCAUUGUGCCGUGAGUUUGCAAGGAAAAGAAGGAAGAACUCUUGGAGCCGUGCAUGCCAUUCAAGGAGCUUGGAUUGUGGAGCGAUUCUAGGUGUUUUCUAUCUUUGUUAGAAUGUUUAAAUUUAUUUAUCUUUGUUUAUUUGCGAACAUGAGGAACUAAUUUCUUUAUAGUUAGAGGGGAAUUCAAAGCCAUGAUCAUAUGUUUUAUAUGACUUGAUUACCUCCAGUUAUGAUUUCAUGAAUCGUGAAUGUGGUUUACUUAUCUAUUUGAUUGAUAACUUGUUCUUGUGUGUUAAUUAAGGAUGCAUACUUAGUUCGCAUGCAUGAAUUUGAUGCUAGAGUAUAAGGGAAUUUCACCUAAUCGUUAUUAACUUAUAUUCAUAAGUAGUAAAAGUCGCUAGUCACGAUUGUGUUAAGUAAAUCCUUGGCAAAAGUAACAUGCGUAUCCCAUAGUUAUGAAUGCUUCGUCAAUGCUUAUGAUUUCCAUUGAACUUAAUGAUCUUUGAUAUGUGUCUCUAUCAUGCGUAUUCCAUAGUUAGGGUCCUUGAUAAGAAUAAUUUGGUUGUAAUGCGUAUCCCAUUCAAUUCAAUGAAUCUAGGGAAAUCUGAGAAUUAAUUGGUCAAUCUAGUUAAUUUGGGGCAUUGUCAUUCAUGGUUUAUUGAAAGAGUAAUUGGAAAUCAAGUCGUAUGCAUAUGUUUCAUGUGUGGAGAAGGAACCUUCUAACUAGCCUUUCACCAUCUUAAUUUUCAUCAAAACGUUUUUGUCUAAGUUUGUUUUCAAAGUUUCUGUUUUCAAAGUUAAAUUCGUCCAAAAUCAAUCCCCCUUUACUUAGUUGAGUCAUAGUAGUUAGAAAUCACUUUAGUUUGUGUUUUUAAGUGUCUUAGGUCAAGUUAAAACCAAUUUUCGUCCAAGUUUGUGUCUAGUGUUCAAAACUGCCCAGAUUGUGGUUUUAAGGCAGUUUUGAGUGUUUUUGGGCUGUUUUGAGUCUUUUGGUUUGUUUUGGUGUUUUAAAGUUUAGUUUUGCAUUCUUUGAGUCUAGUUUAGUGUUUUAAACUUGUUUUUACGUAUUUGAGUCAGUUUUCAAGUGAUUUUGCAAUCCCUCCUAAUCCCCGGUUUAGAACGAUCCCUACUUACAUACUUUGCUACAAUUGAUAAAAAGAGGGUUAAUUUGAGUGUCAACAUAAUUUUCACAUCAAAUUUUGGCGCCGUUGCCGGGGAUUAGCAACUUUGCUAAUCCCUUGGAUUGUUAUUUUCGUUUUUCUUAGUAGAUCAGAUUCUUAUGUUAUUUUGUUUCUUGUUUUAGGUACUUGUUUAUGACCCGGAGUUCUAAUCCGGUUCACGAACAUAUUUUAGACUUUGACGACGAUUUUGAGCGUGAGUUGAGACGGAAGAGGAAGAACCCGGAACCUAGUAAAUCAAGUGCAAGUUCCGAGUCCGUUUCUGAAUUUGAAGAGGAAGUGGAAGACAUGGCAGUGGACAACCCGAACGAUCAAGGAGCUUUCCGCUUCGGGAUUGGAUAAUGCCGCACCUCUAUGUAUCCAAUACCCUAGGGCAGCUCCGAACAAAACUGCCGAGUUCGAAUUGAAGUCAAGCUUGUUACAUCACAUUCCGAAGUACCAUGGGUUGUCCAUGGAAGAUCCGAACAAGCAUUUGAAGGAGUUUGAAGUCGUUUGCUCAAGCAUGACUCCGGUGAACGUGGAUGAGAGCAUCUUGAAGAUGAAGGCCUUCCCCUUUUCUCUCCAAGAGAAGGCGAAAGAUUGGUUGUACGAAUUGGCUCCCGGAACCGUCACAUCAUGGGAGAGCAUGAAACGAGCGUACUUGGAGAAGUUUUUCCCAACUUCUCGAGUCAUCCUCCUACGAAAAAGGAUAAGUGGAAUUCAACAAGAUGAAGGUGAGUCGUUUCCUACAUAUUAUGAACGUUUUAAAUCUCUUGUUGCUUCAUGUCCACAGCAUCAAAUGAAGGAGGAACUACUUCUACAAUACUUCUACGAGGGACUUCUACCAAUUGAACGUCAAAUGCUAGAUGCCUCAGCGGGAGGAGCAUUGGUGGACAAGACCCCUACGGCUGCAAAGAUAUUGAUUGCCAAUCGUGCGUUGAAUGCCCAACAAUACGAAGGCGUUGGACAAAGGAGCAACCCACGGCAACACCAAAUCAAUGAGGUAAGUGCCAUAACCGAACUUCAAAAUCAAAUGGCUAACCUUGCUACUUUGCUUUCUCAGGUGGUGGAAGGUCCAAAAGUGCAAAACGUGGCAGUUUGUGGCAUAUGCUCCACGCACGGACACCUUACGGACAAGUGCCCACAAUUGAUAGAAAAUGGAGGGUGGGAGACCCUCAAUGCCGUGGGAUUUGGCAACCAAUACCAACCGAGGAAUGACCCCUUCUCUAAUACCUACAAUCCCGGUUGGAGAGAUCAUCCAAAUUUCAAAUGGCGAGAACCCCAACAAGGCCAACAACAAAGCACAUUUAGGCAACAACCCCCGGGUUUCUAUCAAAAGCCGUUUGCAACCACACAACCUCAAGCACAACCCACCCAAACCAAUUCAGGUUCGUCCAUUGAUAAUGAUCAGAUUUUUCAAUUACUAACUUCUAUGGCGCAGGGUAUGCAAAAUAGAGACAAAAGGAUGGAUGAGUUAGAGAAGCAAGUAGGGCAGAUUGCGGAGUUCAUGGGCCAAUUUCGAGAGCAAGGCAAGUUGCCAAGUUCAACUGUUGUCAAUCCGAGGGGAGGAGUCGAAACUGCCAAGGCCAUCAUGCUAAGGAGCGGAAAAGAAGUAAGAACCGAGCCAAAACCAUCCAAAUCUGCUCUCAAGGAGGACCAGAAGUUGCAAAUAGAAGAGGAGGAGCAAGCAAAAGCCACGGCAAGGAUUGAGCAAUCCUUGCCGCAACCACCCAUGCCAUCCAAUUCGGCCAAUAAGGGUAAGGAAGGUAUAAUUCAAGUUAAUUCUAAUGUUAUUCCUCCGGAUGUACCCUUUCCUAGCAGAUUUUUGCAAGCCAAGAACGAAGAAGAGGAAAAAGACGUUCUUGAGACGUUUAGAAAGGUGCAUGUCAAUAUCCCUCUCCUCGAUGCUAUAAAGCAAAUCCCGAAGUAUGCCAAGUUUUUGAAGAAGCUUUGUACGACAAGGAAACGGAUUCGGGAGAAAGAGGUGGUACACGUAAGUGAGAAUGUAUCGGCAUUGUUGCAAAGAAAGUUACCACCUAAAUGCAAAGAUCCAGGUAGUUUCACUAUCCCUUGUGUUAUUGGCAAUACGAGGUUUGAUCAUGCUAUGUUAGAUUUAGGUGCAUCUAUAAAUGUCAUGCCAUAUUCUGUUUAUGCAUCUAUGAAUCUAGGAAAGCUUAAAAAUGAUGGUGUUAUUAUUCAAUUAGCCGAUCGAUCUAAUGCAUAUCCCAAAGGAGUGUUGGAAGAUGUUUUGGUGCAGGUAGACCAUUUGAUUUUUCCUGCAGAUUUCUAUGUGCUUGAUAUGGAGGACUCAACCCACUCUCCACCAUCACCACUCUUGCUUGGACGACCAUUCAUGAAAACAGCUCAAACCAAGAUUGACGUGGCCAAGGGAGCAGUAACUAUGGCCUUUGGUGGUGAUAUGAUUAACUUUAAGGUUUCUGAAUCGGUAGAGAGUACUAAUGAUGUUCGUUCUUGUUGUGCUAUUAAUGUAAUUGAAAAUAUAGGGCAGGAAUGUUCAACACUAGUCAAGAAGAAUGUACCACAACCCACCAUCGAGGAAGGAAUUGGAGUGAACAACAAAGAGUGCACGGCCCCAACCUUGAAAUCACCAAAUCUGGCCGAGUGCACCCCUUGUGCAUAUAUCCAUAGUGCUACCACUUCUUUGCCGUACAAAGGUAAGCCACCUAUUCCAAUUUCGAUUCCCAUUUCGACUAAUAGGUUGUUACCUUGUAUGGUGCAGGUACCUAAUCGAAGACAACGUGGUGGGAGAGUUCGUGUUGAUUUAGAGAAGCAAAACAUGACAAUAAGAAAGGAUCAUUAUCCCAUCCCAUUCAAGGACCCAAAGAAUGAAGUAUUUCGUAGGACAGGUGGUGGAAAAACCCCUCCAUGCCGUGGGGUUCCAUAAACCUUCAAUGGAGCAUCGUCCGGCUGCAAGACGUUAAAGAAAGCGCUACUUGGGAGGCAACCCAUGCAUUCAACAAAGGAAGACCGAGAAAGCACUCCAAUUCCAGAUUUGCGUUCCUCAACUUUUCUCUUUGUUGUUUAUUUCGUUUCUGCCAUGAUUAGUGUGUUAGUUGCUGUUUGCUUGUUUAUUUGUUAUUUGUGUUAGUUUAUGCUUGAAACAUUGAGGACAAUGUUUGAUUUAAGUGUGGGGGGGUACACAAAGUGUUUUUGUGUCAAAUUCGUAGGAUUUUACCACCUAACAUUUCAAAGGUUGUUUUUCAUUGUUUUUAAGUGUUUUUAGAAAGUUUGGAUGUGUUUUUAUGUAGCUUUACCAAAAAAUCCGAAAAUUCAAGAAAAAAAUAGAAAAAGUUUUGAAAAAACCCAAAAAGAGUCGUUUUAAAGUUGUUUUUGUGUGUUUGUUUGUGUCUUAGGGUACCUUCCAACACAAUGAUGAGGAUUCGGUUUGUAAUUGCAUGAUUGUUAAAGAGAGUUAUAAACAUGGAUGAAAGUUUGAUUUACUCUUUGGUUUAUGCUUGGUUGUGGUUAUAACUUAUGACUUCACAUGUAAUCAUAAAGAAAAAAAUCAGUUUUUGUAACAUGCUUGAAGGAAGGAACUCAAACAAACGCUACAACCUUGUGAGACUUGAGCCUAAAUGUUUAUUUGGAGAGUUAAAAUCUGUGCAUUCUUGUUUUCUAAAGUCGUUGCAUGAUCUCAUUAUUCUUUGCUUGGUUACUACUUAGAAGGCGUUUCAUCAUUUAGUUCCAAACACUAGAACUCAUGCCAAUGUCAUUCAAAACAUGUUAUUGAAUUGCAUAACACAUAUUCAAGAUGAAGUUGUUUAGUAGUAGUACCACCAUAGCCAAAAAGCCUUCAUUCCAUGCAUUUGUUUUUGUAGGUUUAACCCCGUUGAGCCUUGUUUUAGCCUAUGUUGUUUGUUAUUAUCCUUACCUAGCCUAGAUUAGGACCAUCCAUACCUUUGUUCUUGAAGCAUAGUAAUAAAUGACUCAAAAUGAAUUCCUUUUGGUCAUUAUUGGCAGAAAAUAAGUGUGGGGGAAGUGAGUUUUGUUGUGGGUGUGCCAAAGUCUUGAAUGAGGCAUGAAAAAGAAAAAAAAAAUGAUGAAAUUCGUGGAAAAAGAAAAAGAAAAAGAAAAAAUGUGAAAAGUAUGAAAAAAGAGUUGAAAAGAUGUGAAAAAGAGUUCUAAAGUGUUGAUUGUUGAAGAAAGGGUCCAAAAAGUUGCAUUUGACCCUAAAUAUGCAUGCGUAUUCCCCUUUGUGUUUAAAGUUGUUUUCUGCACUCUAAAGUGAAUUUUAAGUGUCAAUUUCAUUGCUUUGCUUACUAUUGUUUUAAGAACGUUUGUUUAUCCUUUACCCUUCUUUGUUAGCCAAUACCCCAAGCCCCGUUACAACCCUUUACUUUAAUCUUGAGUGUUAUGUGUUUCAAUUUGUGGAGUUUAACAUUGGUAUGAGCAUAUGGUGUCACUGGUUCUCGCAUCUAAGUAGUAGCAUUCCAUUCAUGAGAUCAUAUUUAAACAUGUUGUUAACUCUGGAAAGUGCGUCCUUUGUCAUACAUAUAUGUGAGCAUUUGUUUUCAUAUUUACAUCAAUCUUCUCACAUAUAACUAGUAUAGGGUGUGUAGUCAGAAAUUCUGUGAAAAUUGAGUGCAUAUCUAGUAUAGAGGAAUUGAGCAAAUUCUCUAAGGCAUGUUACUACAUUCAAAACAACGUUUUAAUUGGUUAUUUGUGAACUAAUAAGUAGUGACUAUGAUUAAGUAUGUGCUUAAGCGUAAAGAUGGCUAAAAUCUGUGGGAAUGAUGAUUUUUAACAUGUCAUGUGCAUUGGAAAUCCCUGAGGCGAUUGUUGGAAGGUUUAGGUUGUGUUUUACUCGUUUUGUUUCGUUUAUUUACUUUGUUUCGUUUUGUUUUGCUCGAGGACUAGCAAAAGCUAAGUGUGGGGGAAUUUGAUAGGAGCAUAUUUAUGCGCCUUAGUUAGUUAGUUCUUAUGCAUUUAUGUUGUGUUUUCUUAGUUAAAUUAGUCUUUUAAGCUAUUUUCAUGUGUUUUCAGGUUUUAGAGACAAAGUGAGCAAAAGGAAGCAAUUUGGAGCAUUUUGGAGCAAAAUUGGGCUAGAAUGGAGUUCAUGCAUAUGUAGCACAAGGGAUGGACGAAUUUGAAGGAUUGAUGAAGCUAGGAAUGUGUUUUGAAGUUGAAGAAUUGAAGAUACAAAGUUUCCUAGUUGAAGUAGGAAAGGGCUUACACGAAGAAUUCCUAAAUGGAGAAGGAUUCCUAAUCAAUGUAGGAGUCCUAAAUGAAGAUGGAUUCCUAGAGACAUGAAGUUUCCUACUCAAGCAAGGUUUCCUACAUGAAGAAGAAGAAUUAAAGCCAAAGAAUCAGCUCAAGAUAAGGAAUCUAUCCAAAACCUCAUCAUAACCUUAUCUUAGCUUAACUUAUCCAAACAAACCUUAUCCUAUCUUAUCUUAUCCUAAUCCUAAAUUAUCCACAUUCCAGCCACUUAGGAGGGUUUCUAACUAGAUUAGGAUGCUUAAAAUGGGAUUUCUAGAAGACCUAAUCCUUUCCUACAAAGGUGCCACACCUUAUCCCUUGUUUUUUCUAGAAAUCAGCCACAAAACAACCUUUCUAGAAGGCCUUAUCCCUUGUCCUACAAAAGUGACGCCCCAAACCUUUCUAGAACUUCUAGAAACCUGAUUAUUCCUUUCCCCCUUGGUUUCUAAAAGCCUUAGCCUUUUCCUUCAAGGAUUGUGUGUUAUUAUCCUAUACAAAUUAGGCUUUUAAAUCCUUUUCCUUUGCUACAUAGGGGCUGCGAAUUUCAGCCUAUAAAUACCACCCUUGCUGCACCAUUUAGUCACCCUCCUCUACCAUAUUUUCACUACACCAUUCACCCAAACAUCCCUCAUUGUGCCGUGAGUUUGCAAGGAAAAGAAGGAAGAACUCUUGGAGCCGUGCAUGCCAUUCAAGGAGCUUGGAUUGUGGAGCGAUUCUAGGUGUUUUCUAUCUUUGUUAGAAUGUUUAAAUUUAUUUAUCUUUGUUUAUUUGCGAACAUGAGG